AAUAAAGAAGAAGAAAAAAU
This 20-nucleotide small RNA is filed under the name Arabidopsis thaliana (thale cress). RNAcentral describes it as "ATSL145740". The record is from RNAcentral. Lineage: Eukaryota; Viridiplantae; Streptophyta; Magnoliopsida; Brassicales; Brassicaceae.